RNAcentral lists this ribosomal RNA (253 nucleotides) under uncultured bacterium. RNAcentral's name for it is "partial 16S ribosomal RNA". It matches the Rfam family "Bacterial small subunit ribosomal RNA", at positions 524 to 776 of the family's 1533-position model. The record is from RNAcentral.
UACGUAGGGAGCAAGCGUUGUCCGGAAUCAUUGGGCGUAAAGCGCGCGUAGGUGGCCUCAUAAGUCCGCUGUGAAAGUCAAAGGCUCAACCUUUGAAAGCCGGUGGAUACUGUGAGGCUAGAGUACGGAAGAGGCGAGUGGAAUUCCGGGUGUAGUGGUGGAAUACGUAGAUAUCCGGAGGAACACCAGCGGCGAAGGCGGCUUUCUGGUCUGAUACUGACGCUGAGGCGCGAAAGCGUGGGGAGCGAGCCGG